UACGGGGGGGGCAAGCGUUGUUCGGAAUUACUGGGCGUAAAGGGCUCGUAGGUUGCCAACUAAGUCGGACGUGAAAUCCCUCAGCUUAACUGGGGAACUGCGUCCGAUACUGGAUGGCUUGAGUUUGGGAGAGGGAUGCGGAAUUCCAGGUGUAGCGGUGAAAUGCGUAGAUAUCUGGAGGAACACCGGUGGCGAAGGCGGGUCUCUGGGCCGUAACUGACGCUGAGGAGCGAAAGCAUGGGGAGCGAACAGG
This 253-nucleotide ribosomal RNA is filed under the name uncultured bacterium. RNAcentral's name for it is "partial 16S ribosomal RNA". It matches the Rfam family "Bacterial small subunit ribosomal RNA", at positions 524 to 776 of the family's 1533-position model. The record is from RNAcentral.